Molecule: long non-coding RNA, 356 nt
Organism: Lycium barbarum (goji berry)
Lineage: Eukaryota; Viridiplantae; Streptophyta; Magnoliopsida; Solanales; Solanaceae
Exons: 3
Source: RefSeq, a predicted model, not a curated record
AGCUUGAUUAUUGAAGAAAACCCUCUUAUGAGUGAUAGUUUAUUUGGUUAGUUAACUAGAGAUUAUCUUAGUGAUUAGUUGUGUGGAUCUUUGGAGCAGGAAAAUACGAUGCAAUUGUUGCUGCUGCAUACAUACAUGGAGUCAUUUAGGCCAACACGAUCAAUCUCCCUCUUCUCCACGAAAAAAAUAUGAAGCACCACUGGGGCACGGGAAGAAAGAUGGUGAUGAAGAGGACGAUGAGGAUGCAGAGGAAGAUGCAGAAGUUGAACUACUACUAGAACCAGCUAUAAUUUCAGAGUCCAACCACAUGUGAGCUAAUACUUGGCAUAUGCCUUCUUCAACUUCUGGACUUAAAC